GGCACAGAAGAAGUUUCACUUGAUUACCCCACCAUCCAGCCCAGUGAGCUACCUCCAGACUCCCUCUCCACCCUGGUCUGGGCCCCGGGACACUGCCCUGUCCGAACGAUAUCACUCAAGGUCCAUCCCGUGGAAAUGCCGACAAGAGAUGGGAGUGCGGAAGAGAGUGGAGCAAGGCUGACUCCCAACUCUGACCCCAGCUGCUCUGGUCCUGAAAGCCUCGGCUCCUGUCCUGGCCUUCAUCUACACUGACAGCUGCUUCUAGGUCCUGGAGCAUCCUCUCCCCUUCUCGUUCAGAGACCCUGACCAAUGGCCCAGGCUCCUCUUUGGGUUCACAGCAUUUGCCAGCAUUAGAAGCACAUCCUUCAAGACUCCCCAUUUCCAAGAAUCCUCGCCAGAUUGUCCUUAAAAUACAUGUCUGGACUUACUUUCCACACACCAUUUAGCCUGUGUCAUCCUCUCCCUCUCACUCCGGACAGCAAUCCAUCCCCAAGACUCUGCCCACCAGCCCAGGGCAGGUGCGAGCUCUCCCUAAACCCCCUCUGUGCUUCCCUCAACAGCUAGCACAAGUCGUAUGCUCUCAGAAGAAGUUUGAGAGACCAAUAAACAUUCCCUCCCUUGCUCACACCCAGAGAACAUCACUUCAGCACUUUCGUUUGAAACACCAAUGGUUUUUCAUACUGACUUUUUCUCAGUCCAUGACUCUCAAGAGGGCCUGGCCUGGGGAUGUGCCUGCCAUGGUCUCUCCCCCACGGUCCACCAGGGAAUGCAGAGCAACACAGAAGACUGAGCCUCAGGUGCCUAGUGCCUCAGGAUUCCUCUUCUGGACUGAUCAGACUCAGCCAAUCACUGGAAAGAGGCUCCUGUUGAAAAAGCUGCAGCCCUCUUCGGCUCCCUGACUGCACCUCUCCCCACCAUGCUGGGAGGUCAAGACGGAUGAGGGCGGGCGCCUCUCUGGAGCCAGGUCUAAUCAGAGAUACAGCUUCCAGAUGAAUCACCUUUGCAAGGCCUCCUUGCCAUGCCCCUUUGAAUUAAAAGAGCUCCCUCUACUAACAUAUUAAUUAAAAUGAAAUAUUAAUAAGCUGACCUCUAUUAUUUAUCAGCUGUUUGGGGAGAAAAGAAAAAUAUUGAGAUCCAAAGAGAAAUCAAUUUCCCCAAAACCGCCCUUCCCUGAGCAGACUGAUUCGUGUCACAUAAUAAAGAGAUAAGCUUAUCGGCUGCAUCAGUUCAAAGACGUGUGCUGUAAAUGUUGAUUUUGAACCAAUAAGAAGAUUAUAAGCACUGUCAUAAAAUAUCUUUCCGGGAUGUAAAUUAUUCAAAGCCCUCCGUGGGCAGACACAGUGUCUCAUGCCUCAGUGAUCCCCGUUCUCUGCAAUACAUUUCACUUAUUAAAGUCAGAGAGGGCCUCUGUUGAUAAAGCCCCCUAAAUAAAUGAUAACCUUCAUCUCCGUCUUCUAAAUUAUUUCCACGACUAGAAUUCGGAAUGUUUGUGCCAGAGGUGCCACAAAGUACGGCCUUCUUGAGUGGGGUAUGUCUUCAUUGGGAAGCUCGGUUCAGGUAAGGGCUGAACCCCUAGAUUCUUGGAGCUGGGCAGUGGCUACAGUAAUGCAUACAACCCUGGGGGCUCAUCUUCACAAGGAGGGAAGGGGUGAUGCAAGAUGCAAGGGACAAUAUGAUGAAAAGGCCUGGACCCCUAACCUGCCUCGCUAGUCAGGCUGAGUUGUUAUCCAACCUGAGUGAGUUGGACAACCAACUCCAAAAGUGAGUCUCUUGUUACAGGGAGGUGGGUAUAAUACGUGUGCCCACCAGGCACAGGGU
Bos taurus (domestic cattle) is the source of this 1818-nucleotide long non-coding RNA. Lineage: Eukaryota; Metazoa; Chordata; Mammalia; Artiodactyla; Bovidae. The record is from Ensembl.